UCUUCCCACCAAUGCAAGAAGGCAUAAAUUAUCAAGUAUUGAACUCCUGGAGUUUCUUUUUUUGUGCCUUCCACGUGAGCCAAGUUUGCCACUUUGCCUGUAACCCAGGGGUGCCCUAAAACUGCCCUGUGGUCAGUCUCUUCUUGGGAUCCAGGGUGAGGAUAUUUGGCCCAUGACCAGAGAUGAGCAAAGAUACAGGUAAGAGAUCCAAGUUCAAGAUCCCUGUGAUUGUG
This 233-nucleotide long non-coding RNA is filed under the name Monodelphis domestica (gray short-tailed opossum). Its description in RNAcentral is "lncRNA (ENSMODG00000050010.1)". The record is from RNAcentral. Lineage: Eukaryota; Metazoa; Chordata; Mammalia; Didelphimorphia; Didelphidae.